CAGCCGCCACGGUAAUACGUAGGUGGCAAGCGUUGUCCGGAAUUACUGGGCGUAAAGGGCUCGCAGGCGGUUUCUUAAGUCUGAUGUGAAGGCCCCCGGCUCAACCGGGGAGGGUCAUUGGAAACUGGGAAACUUGAGUGCAGAAGAGGAGAGCGGAAUUCCACGUGUAGCGGUGAAAUGCGUAGAGAUGUGGAGGAACACCAGUGGCGAAGGCGACUCUCUGGUCUGUAACUGACGCUGAGGAGCGAAAGCGUGGGGAGCGAACAGGAUUAGAUACCCCGGUAGUCCCUGUCUCUUAUAC
Molecule: ribosomal RNA, 301 nt
Filed under: uncultured bacterium
Lineage: Bacteria
Description: partial 16S ribosomal RNA
Rfam family: Bacterial small subunit ribosomal RNA
Source: RNAcentral